AUUCGCACAUUCAGUCCAGGGAUCUGAACGAGAGGGUUGGAGAAAUCAGAUUCGCUUAUGCAAGAAAAAAGAGGGAGGAAGAGAUGGCUAAAGAGAAGGAGCAGAAUAAUUUAUUCAAAGUUGUUGUCAGUCAGCUUAAAGUUCCAACUGAUACAAUGGAGAAAUGGGAUGCAGAAAGUAUUGGAGGCGAAGCAAAAUAAUCAGAAUAAAUCGAAAGGAGUAUAAUCAGAACAAAUCAAAAGGAGUAUAAUCAAAAC
Long non-coding RNA from Vicia villosa (hairy vetch), 257 nucleotides. RefSeq lists it as uncharacterized. The transcript is spliced from 3 exons. NCBI's taxonomy places the organism in Eukaryota, Viridiplantae, Streptophyta, Magnoliopsida, Fabales, Fabaceae. The record is from RefSeq and is a predicted model, not a curated record.